Molecule: long non-coding RNA, 1390 nt
Organism: Acinonyx jubatus (cheetah)
Lineage: Eukaryota; Metazoa; Chordata; Mammalia; Carnivora; Felidae
Exons: 5
Source: RefSeq, a predicted model, not a curated record
GAAAAUCUGCUUCUCUGGGUAAUACAGGGAGGGGUGGGCAGGGGCUCUUUCCCCUGACCUCCGAGGGAGGUGGGCGGGGGCUCUGUGAGUGGGAGGGAAGCUCUUGUGGAUCCAUUUGGGGAAGGUUCUUUUGUUCAGCAUCACGGCAGUUGGGGUGGGGAGGGGAGGGACUCCAGCCCCAACCGCCCCUGGGCUCUGGGGCUCUGACACGAUGAGCCUUGUUUGAGCCUGGGUGGCAAUUGGCUAAGUAGGGGAAAAAGACGAGCGUCGGGAGGAACCAAAUCGGAACCAUUCCAAGCCCAGGCUUCGGAAGCAGCUGGACUUGGGGCAGAUCACCUACCAGCUCUGUGGCGGAGAUGUGUCGUCAUCUAUAAAAUGGGGAUCCCUUUCAGCAGAUUUGAAUCUGGUGGGUGCCAGUCACUCUCUGCACCAUGGAAGUCGUCCAGAUAGCCACCUUAGCCUCUUCCCUGGCUUCUAAGAUGGUGGCAUCCAAGGUGAUGGCAGUGAGCCUGGUCAAAGCCACCUCAGCAGCCUGUGGCAGUGCCCUCGCCGGACUUCCGUCCGCAGCACAAGCAGCAGCUCAGGAUGGAAUGGGGAGGACCGGGCCCCUGACCACUGCCGACCUCUGACACUGUGCAUUCACCCUCUGUUCUUCCGCGGGAGUCACCCUGUCAUCCACAGCUGCCCUGAGCCAGGCCACAGCUUCCCUGGGAUCUCUGCUGGGGACACUGAGUGGCUCCUCCCUGGUGGAAUCCCCUGCUGCCGCCUUGACCAUCUCCCCACUUGGAGGACCCUGACCUCGGUGUUUGUCGCGCCGGCCGCGACAGAAGACAACACUGACCCUCAUGUAUGAAUGAAGGAACGUUGGCCAAAAGCCCUGGACCAGGAGUCAAGGUUGGCGCAGCUGUGAUGGGAGGAGGUGAGUCUCUGCAAGGAAGAGGUUCAAGUCCUUAUCUGCCCCCCCAGCCCCAAGGACUUGGGGAGCAACCAUCCUCGUCCAGGCCCAGGUUUGCCUCAGCCUCAUGUGGAUUGGUAGAGAUGGGCAGGAAGCAAGGAACUGGAAACAAGAAAUGAAGGGGCCUCUGUAGUAGGAUGAUUUCUCAGCAUGGUGCCCAGUGACCCUCACCCUUUUUAAAAAAAAUUUUGCUUUCAUAUUUAUUUAUUUUUGAGGUUGAGAGAGAGAGAGGGACACAGCGUGAGUGGGGAAGGGGCAGAGAGAGACGGAGACACAGAACUCAAAGCAGGCUCCAGGCUCUGAGCUGUCAGCACAGAACCUGAUGCGGGGCUUGAACCCGUGAGAUCUUGACCUGAUCCGAAGUCAGAUGCUCAACUGACUGAGUCACCUAGGCACCCUGACCCUCACUCUUCUAUACUCCUCCCACCUUUGGAG